CAUGAAGCUGGAAUCGCUAGUAAUCGCGAAUCAGAAUGUCGCGGUGAGUACGUUCCCGGGUCUUGUACACACCGCCCGUCACACCAUGGGAGUCGGAAAUGCCCGAAGUCAGUGACCCAACCGUAAGGAGGGAGCUGCCGAAGGUGGAGCCGGUAACUGGGGUGAAGUCGUAACAAGGUAAC
RNAcentral lists this ribosomal RNA (182 nucleotides) under uncultured bacterium. Its description in RNAcentral is "partial 16S ribosomal RNA". It matches the Rfam family "Bacterial small subunit ribosomal RNA", at positions 1319 to 1500 of the family's 1533-position model. The record is from RNAcentral.